GACUGUGAGGCGCAACGGUAGCGCGUCUGACUCCAGAUCAGAGGGCUGAGUGUUCAAUUCACGUCAGGGUCA
Gasterosteus aculeatus (three-spined stickleback) is the source of this 72-nucleotide transfer RNA. It matches the Rfam family "tRNA". Rfam says of the family: Transfer RNA (tRNA) molecules are approximately 80 nucleotides in length. Their secondary structure includes four short double-helical elements and three loops (D, anti-codon, and T loops). Lineage: Eukaryota; Metazoa; Chordata; Actinopteri; Perciformes; Gasterosteidae. The record is from Rfam.